CUGGGCGUUAAGUUGCAGGGUAUAGACCCGAAACCCGGUGAUCUAGCCAUGGGCAGGUUGAAGGUUGGGUAACACUAACUGGAGGACCGAACCGACUAAUGUUGAAAAAUUAGCGGAUGACUUGUGGCUGGGGGUGAAAGGCCAAUCAAACCGGGAGAUAGCUGGUUCUCCCCGAAAGCUAUUUAGGUAGCGCCUCGUGAAUUCAUCUCCGGGGGUAGAGCACUGUUUCGGCAAGGGGGUCAUCCCGACUUACCAACCCGAUGCAAACUGCGAAUACCGGAGAAUGUUAUCACGGGAGACACACGGCGGGUGCUAACGUCCGUCGUGAAGAGGGAAACAACCCAGACCGCCAGCUAAGGUCCCAAAGUCAUGGUUAAGUGGGAAACGAUGUGGGAAGGCCCAGACAGCCAGGAUGUUGGCUUAGAAGCAGCCAUCAUUUAAAGAAAGCGUAAUAGCUCACUGGUCGAGUCGGCCUGCGCGGAAGAUGUAACGGGGCUAAACCAUGCACCGAAGCUGCGGCAGCGACGCUUAUGCGUUGUUGGGUAGGGGAGCGUUCUGUAAGCCUGUGAAGGUGUGCUGUGAGGCAUGCUGGAGGUAUCAGAAGUGCGAAUGCUGACAUAAGUAACGAUAAAGCGGGUGAAAAGCCCGCUCGCCGGAAG
This 659-nucleotide ribosomal RNA is filed under the name Escherichia coli. RNAcentral's name for it is "partial 23S ribosomal RNA". It matches the Rfam family "Bacterial large subunit ribosomal RNA", at positions 688 to 1343 of the family's 2925-position model. Lineage: Bacteria; Pseudomonadati; Pseudomonadota; Gammaproteobacteria; Enterobacterales; Enterobacteriaceae. The record is from RNAcentral.